AUGGUGUAGCAAUACACCGGAAGAUUUAGUGGCGAACGGGUGAGGAUCACGUGAGAAACCUGCCCCAGACUUUGGGAUAACAAUUGGAAACGAUUGCUAAUACCGAAUGACGUCGGAGAACCGCAUGGUUCACUGACGAAAGGAAAUCCGGUUUGGGAGGGUCUCGCGGCCUAUCAGCUUGUUGGUGGGGUAAUGGCCUACCAAGGCAACGACGGGUAGCUGGUCUGAGAGGAUGAUCAGCCACACUGGGACUGAGACACGGCCCAGACUCCUACGGGAGGCAGCAGUGGGGAAUCUUGCGCAAUGGGCGAAAGCCUGACGCAGCAACGCCGCGUGCGGGAUGAAGGCCUUCGGGCUGUAAACCGCUUUCAGCAGGAACGAAAAUGACGGUACCUGCAGAAGAAGGAGCGGCCAACUACGUGCCAGCAGCCGCGGUGACACGUAGGCUCCAAGCGUUGUCCGGAUUUAUUGGGCGUAAAGAGCUCGUAGGCGGUUUAGUAAGUCGGGUGUUAAAACUCUGGGCUCAACCCGGAGAGGCCAUCCGAUACUGCUGUGACUUGAGUUCAGGAGGGGAGCGGGGAAUUCCUAGUGUAGCGGUGAAAUGCGCAGAUAUUAGGAGGAACACCGGUGGCGAAGGCGCCGCUCUGGACUGAAACUGACGCUGAGGAGCGAAAGCAUGGGUAGCAAACAGGAUUAGAUACCCUGGUAGUCCAUGCCGUAAACGGUGGGCACUAGGUGUGGGUUCCAACUAACGGGAUCCGCGCCGUCGCUAACGCAUUA
Molecule: ribosomal RNA, 780 nt
Filed under: actinobacterium SCGC AAA041-L18
Lineage: Bacteria; Bacillati; Actinomycetota; Actinomycetes
Description: bacterial SSU rRNA
Rfam family: Bacterial small subunit ribosomal RNA
Source: RNAcentral